AGCUUUGCGCAGUGGCAGUAUCGUAGCCAAUGAGGUUAAUCCGAGGCGCAAUUAUUGCUAGUUGAAAAUCUCUUCCUACUGUAUUUCCACCCCAUGCAUCCCACGAAGUGGGGUUUAGCCCAGGGAAGUUUAUGCUCAGAUAAAUGUGUU
This 150-nucleotide small nuclear RNA is filed under the name Gopherus evgoodei (Goodes thornscrub tortoise). RNAcentral's name for it is "U4 spliceosomal RNA (ENSGEVG00005018100.1)". It matches the Rfam family "U4 spliceosomal RNA". From Rfam's summary of the family: U4 small nuclear RNA (U4 snRNA) is a component of the major U2-dependent spliceosome. The structure of U4 snRNA from yeast and human has been reported. The record is from Rfam by way of RNAcentral. Lineage: Eukaryota; Metazoa; Chordata; Testudines; Testudinidae.